This 279-nucleotide ribosomal RNA is filed under the name uncultured bacterium. Its description in RNAcentral is "partial 16S ribosomal RNA". It matches the Rfam family "Bacterial small subunit ribosomal RNA", at positions 506 to 784 of the family's 1533-position model. The record is from RNAcentral.
UGCCAGCCGCCGCGGUAAUACGGAGGGUACGAGCGUUGUUCGGAAUUACUGGGUUUAAAGGGUGCGCAGGCGGACCUUUAAGUCAGUGGUGAAAUCUUGCCGCUUAACGGUAAAAUUGCCAUUGAUACUGGCGUGCUCGGAUUGGCACGAGGCAGGCGGAACGCGGCAUGUAGCGGUGAAAUGCUUAGAUAUGCCGCAGAACACCGAUUGCGUAGGCAGCCUGCCAGAGCUAUAUCGACGCUGAGGCACGAAAGCGUGGGGAGCGAACAGGAUUAGAUA